GUGGUGACUGCUGCUGCAGCUCAGGCGCUUCAUGAUUCCUCUUUGAAGAACACUAGGCGUGCAUGUUUGUGCGCAGGAGCUUACUUCUUUCCCUGGAAUGAAGAACCGCGGCCUCUCGAAUAUCACUUUCCCUCGGUCAAUUAUCGUGACUGAGCAGCUGCUUGGGAGCCUCUUCAAACAGUAUUUUGCGAGGGAUGUGGACAAACUAAACCGCACACGACAAAACCAAAACAGCAGAAGAAGCAAAGAAGAAAACCACUCAUGGAUGGAAGCUUCCCGUCAACGCGUGUUAAAUGGGAGUGGUCGCUUACCCAGUCGGCACAAAUCUGCUGGUACCGAGGAUCAAUUUCGUAGCGUCCUCCAACUUGGCAGCAUCCACCAGGCACUCUUUAACACUGGCUCCAACAACCACUUUAAUGUCCAACUUGAUCUGCGACACACAAAGCAAAAGCAGCAAAGACAAGAGUGAGGAAAGAAGAACCAUUAAAAUUUUGGUGUGAGAGGCCCUGGUACACUCCUAAAACACCUUGAAAGGUCUCGUCCAGUUCCUUUCUGGUGGCCGGAUCCAGCUCCGAAGACAGUGCUGCCAAAACGUUACAAAGUUUUACAGGGUUUUUCGUAUGAAAAAGAUGAGCCACGAAGAAGUUUGAGAUUGAAAAACGGAAGAAAAAUGGAAGUUUGCUUACCGGUAGAGGAGGAAGAUUGGAGGACAUGAACAGCAAUGACGUGAUCUCCCGGG
Long non-coding RNA from Selaginella moellendorffii, 739 nucleotides. RefSeq lists it as uncharacterized. The record is from RefSeq and is a predicted model, not a curated record. NCBI's taxonomy places the organism in Eukaryota, Viridiplantae, Streptophyta, Lycopodiopsida, Selaginellales, Selaginellaceae. The transcript has 5 exons.